UACAGAGGUCUCAAGCGUUGUUCGGAAUCACUGGGCGUAAAGGGUGUGUAGGCGGCGUGACAAGUCAGAUGUGAAAUCUGGGGGCUCAACCUUCAAAUAGCAUCCGAUACUGUCAUGCUGGAGGUCUGUAGAGGAGUCUGGAAUUCUCGGUGUAGCAGUGAAAUGCGUAGAUAUCGAGAGGAACACUUGUUGCGAAAGCGAGACUCUGGGCAGAAACUGACGCUGAAACACGAAGGCCAGGGUAGCGAACGGG
This 253-nucleotide ribosomal RNA is filed under the name uncultured bacterium. Its description in RNAcentral is "partial 16S ribosomal RNA". It matches the Rfam family "Bacterial small subunit ribosomal RNA", at positions 524 to 776 of the family's 1533-position model. The record is from RNAcentral.